ACAGAGAUAGUUGGACUCCAGAGUCUUUGCACUUAACCACCUCACUGUGCUCCUCUCAGAGACCUGGGAAUGUCAGUAUUGAAGGACACCUUAACCAACUGAAGCCCAGAGAGGUAGAAUGACUUGCCCGAGGUCACACAGCAGAUCCAAAAGUGAACUCAUUUCUCAACAUUCAUCCAUGAUCAACAUUAAUUAAGCACUACCAGGUGCCAGACACCAUGCCAGCCCAGGUUAAACAAAAUUUAAUGAAAGUCCCUGCCUUCGAGGUGUUUGCAGUCAGGAAGGGGAGUGGGAGAGAAGUGGGGAAUCUAUUUGAAAACCAGUAAGUGCAGUAAAGUGUUGGAGUCUCCACUGUAGACGCAUGUACAGGUCUUGUGGUUCUGGCCAUCUUCUCGAAGCAGCAGCGGCAGGAGUGCUUAUUUUGGGCACGUCCCAGAAGAACAGAAGUCAUCUCCUGGGGCAAGAUGAGGCGGGGCUACCCACACCCAUUCGGGUCUUCCUAGCUUUCGCAGGGCAACGAAGGGGUUGGUUAGUGUCCUGUCCUGUUUGAGGGGAACUGGACAGAAAAGGCUCAAGUGUCUCGGGCCUGCCUUUAGUCAGCCUCCCCUCCCCCACCACGGACACCCCAUGACUUCCCCGAUCUAGGCACAAUGGAACCUUCCCUCAGCUCUGCUUUUGCAGCUGGGAAAUACAUGCCAGAUUCUGACCCAGAAUCUCCUGAGUCUCCCAAACAUCAGCCACUCACACUCAACCUCCAUCAUCGCGCCGUUUUGUAAAGCCAGAUGUACUAGUAUAUACUUAAUAUUUUCUUUAAAUCAAAGCUAAAUCAGUUCACUUCUUUCUUAUCCUGACCCUAAGCCGUAAUAUCCUUGAAAAUGUAGCUUUUGCGUGCUGGUUCUAAUUUUUUUGAAUUCAUAUUCAAAUAAAACAUAACUAUUAAAAUGUAAAACAUUCCUCCAUGUGCUGUCGGCCUACAGAGAACACAGGUCAAUCUCGUCCCUAUUCGAAGUUUCCCAAAGCCAGGGAGGGCAAGGAGGGCGUAGCACCCAUCAGAUGUGGCUGAUUUCUAUCUCGCCUGUAAUUACAGCUCUCUUGGCCUGUCGGGACAGGAGGCGAGGGAGGAGAUGAAAGGUCUGCCCUUCACUCUUCCCCAGGCCAGGCAGAGCACACUCACACCAGCCUGCUCUGCCCUGGCACCGUCCUGCCUGCUGGGCUGGGGGCGGGUAGCCCCUGCCCUCCUCACUGCACUGGCAAUGAAGGAAGGCGCUGUCCAUCCAGAGAAUGGGCUUAUUGUGAGGGAAGGGGUGUCCCAGAGGGGAGCCAAGCUGCUGCCUCCUCAGGCCUCCGUGCCCAGACACAGAAACAAAAACAACUGCCCAAGAUCUCAAAGACGUGAAGAGGCCCAGCCAGGACGAGAACCCAGAUCUUCUAAGUAUCCUAUCGUCUCCUCAGGAAGAGAAGCCUCCUCCAAGACUCCUUCUUGCAAUAGGAGGAGUGUUUCCCUAGUCAACAGAGAACCAGAAACUUCCCCUCUGGUGCGUGCCGGGGAGAGAGGCCGUGGAGGGGACUCGCUGAGCUUCCCUGGGCAGUGGGGGCUGCUGUGUAACAGCUGGCUGUCUGCGGGGUUGGGAGAACACGUCUCUGUUUUGUAGUGUUUGCCAUCUUCUAGGGUAUAAAUGGUCCCGCCAUGGCUGAUUUCAAGCUACCGGCAUGAUGUCACUGACUGCAGAGUUGGGAAGAGGUGAACACGGUUAGCCCUCACGAGAUUGCACAACUGGCUCCAGCACACCACUGGCCGAGGGAGACCUGAACCUUGCUCUGGAAGCCCAUUGGCACACGCGCAUGCGCGCAGACACGUACAGGAGGCUGCACGCGCGCGCUGCAGACACGGGAGCCAGCCGUCGGCCUGAUGGA
Long non-coding RNA from Aethalodelphis obliquidens (Pacific white-sided dolphin), 1914 nucleotides. RefSeq lists it as uncharacterized. The record is from RefSeq and is a predicted model, not a curated record. The transcript has 3 exons. Lineage: Eukaryota; Metazoa; Chordata; Mammalia; Artiodactyla; Delphinidae.